CUCAGCCCGCUGCCCGAGCGGAAACGCCACUGACCGCACGGGGAUUCCCAGCGCCGGCGCCAGGGGCACCCGGGACACGCCCCCUCCCGCCGCGCCAUUGGCCUCUCCGCCCACCGCCCCGCAUCCAUUGGCCAGCUCGCCGCCAAUCAGCGGAAGCCGCCGGGGCCGCCUAGAGAAGAGGCUGUGCUCUGGGGCUCCGGCUCCUCAGAGAGCCUCGGCUAGCCCCCAGACAUAACAUUGGCUUUCUCCUGUCCUGUUUUUUGCAGUCAGGUGAGUUGUGAAACCAGACAGAUUGGAUGUACCACCAAUUAAGGCUACACAGUUUGAGCAGAGGCCUCACUCUUACCCAGCAAAUCAUUUAUUCCUCCUUUAUGGAUUUUCUGGAAUGUUUACCUUGUUUUACAUUUUAUCUUUGUCCUCAACUAGGAUUCUACUCCUUGAUCCUCUUCACAGUCCAGAUGACCUUGACUACUGCCUUACUGAGAAUUGGAUAUGAGGUUCAGCAAUAUCUCCCUUUUACCUCCUUUGAAUGUCUCUUAAUCCAUCUUUAUUUCUUUUCUCAUCAGUUAGUAACUGGGCUUGAUUGCCUUAAUGUUGAUAGCUUCCAAACUGGUGUCUCUGCCUCCCGGUAGCAUCUUCUGUGUUGUUGGGACAAUUGUCCUAACAUAGAGGUAGAGCCAAUAAUGACUGAUGCAACUCUUAACUGGCUUCUAACUACUCACAGGAUGAAUUAUGAAUUCAUCAACAUGAACGCGAUGUACAAGGUCCCUCAAUUGGCUUUUCUCAACAACUUUUUCAUUUGCUACAGUUUUCUACAUAGACCUCUCGAGUCAUUCUGGACUGAUCGUUUACCCAAAUCAUAGUGACGUUGUCAUACCUCUUUGUAGGCUGGUUCCUUCUGGAACAGUGCCCUCGGUGCUCCUUACUUUUCAAAUACCCUCUCCCCUAUGAUCUUGACUUCUGUGAUCUAUCAUCCUAUAAGCCAAACACCUCUAAAGAAAGGUUAGCAGUGCUUUUCUCCAGAUCUCAGCAGGUUGAAUCAGCAUUUCUCGGGUUGUUAUUGCUUGUUUAAAUUCUCUUAACUAUUCAGAGCUUCUUGAGGGCACAGGUUCUUGUUGAGUCUUGUACCACUAAGCUGCUAGAAUGUGCCUUGAUGCCUUGCCAAUCCUAAGAAAAAUGGAAUGGGUGACAUGUAGAUGUCUUUAUAAGGUUUGAUAGGUUAUUGAUCUCUGAAUAGUUUUGUAAGCUUGCUAGUGCUCUAGAUUAGUACUGUCCAAUAGAAUCUUCUGCAGGGAUGGGAAUGUUCUGCCUUUUUGCCAACCAAUGUAGUAGCCACUAACUAUAUUACUGUUGCACUGGAAAUGUGGCUAGUGUGACUAAAGAACUGAAUUUUCAACUUUAUGUAAUUUAAAUUGCCACAGUAUAAAUUGUAGCUGUAGCCACAAACUUGUGUUGUGGGUUGCUGAAUACUUAAUGUGAAUGUUGAUAACUUUCUCUUCAUGCUGAGCACUAAGGAAGCAAAAGUUGGCCUAUUUAGUUUAUUUUUAUCUUCCCUGCUUGUUUUACCUUUAUCUGUAUACUUUAGCUGUACUUAGCUGAGAGCCAAAUUCAACAAGCCGUUACUUUAAACCUGCCUUGGACAACAGUAUGUUGAGAAAGCAAAGCAGGCGUUGACUAGUUUGGAUUUCAAAAACCAAUGUGUAAUGAAUUUUAGGAAAGUGGGAUUUCAUUAACAGAAGUUUAGCUAGGAAUAGGGACUAUAUCUGAUGCCAAUGAAACCAGGCCUAAAUUUCAGUCCUAUAAGGUUUCGUUUUUGGAGAAACUUGAUCAGAGGAGGCCAGGGCCUAAGUGUCAUAUGCCUGUCAUAUGCAAGUUUCAUCCUGAUAAAGUGUAAAUUAAUAGAUAUAUCCUAACACCAAAAUAUUUGAUUUAUCUGCUAAUAUAACAUGUUGUAAAUGACAAUUUUUUUACUUAAAAUUUCUUACACUUAUAAGACCCUUAGGAUGGGAAUCUUAAAACCGGUCAGUGCACACCAGUUACUGUUUAGUGCAGACUUCCAGUCCCAUACCCAAAGAUUCUGAAUCCAGUUAAGGCAGAGGGGUGGGCAGCACUGGAAUUCCGUAUCAAGUUCCUUAUUUGCUUCUGAUACUGGGGACUUAGGGACCACACUGGAAAUACAGCCCCUGGGCUAUAGUACACCUAUAUAUCUGACAAAAAUGGUUACAGUUUCAGAGAGACCUCUAAUAUUUUGUGUGUUCUUUACUUUGUAAUUUUUUCCCUCAACUUUUUUUUCCCUUUCAAAAAACUGAAUGAAUGGAAAACAUGUUGAGACAAUGAGUACUGAUGUUUAAUAAAUUUUGGAAACUUGCAGGUCAGAUUGUUUUUUUUUGUAAAACAGAUACUAAAUAUUCCAAAUACAUUUUUAAAAAACCAUAGUAUCGCCUUUCUUGUCUGUUUUCCCACUAAGUGCAUACCUCAGGGACUUAUUUUUGAUUCCCCAAUGCCUGAACACAGAGCUGGGUACUUAAUAAAUGUUGGUUUUAUUAAUUUAUAUGUGAAAUUGGUUUUCAAAUAAUAGCAAAGUCUACAAAACACAGACACAUGUCUCCUUUUAUGGAGAAAUUUUAGGGUCAUACUUAACCCAAGUCUCAUUCUAUUUAUAGAAGAGACUACUGCAUCAUGGUCUCUGAAUGCAUCUGUCCACUGUUGAGCUCUUCCUUGGGUUUCCUGUAUAAACCAUUGCACUUAUCCUCUUCCUGUGCUUCACUUCCUUUGGCUUUAUUUUUUAAUAAACCAGCUAUCUAUCUCCUUUUGUAAUAGAGCCAUGUUCUGUGUUUUUUGUUUUUGUUUUUUUACAGAGCAUGUGAUCAGGAGAGAGGGGCAGAGGAAGAGAGAGAAUCUUAGGCUCCACUUUCAGCACGAAGCCUGAUGCAGUGCUUGGGGCUUGAUCCCACAACCCUGGGAUCACCACCUGAGCCAAAAUCAAGAGUUGGAUGCUCAACCGACUGAGCCACCCUAUAUGACCCCAAGCCAUAUUGUUUCUUACGCUUCUAGGACAAAAGUAUAUUGAACACUUCUUACUUUGAGAAAGUUGAAGGUUUUGUAAAGGCUUUUUACAUUUUUUUAGAUUGGCAAAAUUUGAGCCACAUAAUGUUCCUGCCAUGUAUUUUUUAUGCAAAGAGGAGGUUUGGUAUCAUUAUGCUUUGCAACUCUUAAUCCAGAAUUUGAUAGGGAUCAGCAUCACAAGGAUAAGACUACUUUGACUAUUUUUAGGCCAAUCUUAUGGAGAGCACUUUGGCAGGCUGGGAAUUUUUUGUUAUUUUACCUACUGGCAUACUACUUUAUGCUGGAGGACAUAUUUCAGAAGACUUUUUUUUCCUUAUCCAUGACUCCCCAUUCUUGAUGGAGUGGGUAAGAAACUGGAUUAUUAGAGAGCUGUUAGUAGCAUGGAAUUAAACAUUGAGGUUUAUUUUAUCCAAGCCAGGGUUGAACCUGAGUAUCCUGAUAUCCUGGUAUAUACCUUCUUGGUGAUUACAGAGGCUAUUUCUGCCUCUUUGAUUGCAUCUCAUAGUCAUGAUUACAUUUAAUAAUCUUGCUUUCCAGGUUUUUGCCUAGAGUUCACGGUUAACACCGAUUUUUACCAAUUUGCCCUGGCACUUAGUCAUCCUGUUUUUUAGUUUUUGGGUUUUUUUUAAACAUGUUUAAUAUUGGAUCUUCCUGUUGACAGCAGUAACAUAUUUUCAGAUUAUGUUUAUAGAAUUGAUUAUUUUACUAGCCAACUAACCUAACCCCACCUCUAGGGUAUGGAUUCUGGUCAAGUCAGUCAACAUUCUUCAUAACCUUUCUUAUUUUUCCUGACCUUUGGUUAAAAAUCUCUUCCCAAACUAUUUACUAUAAUAAAUAAUGACAACAUGGUUCUAGUGCCUGCUAUAGGCAAAGGCUAACGUAAAUAGUUGGGUUAGAAGAAAUGAAUAAUCAUGGAAUGCCACUUCUGUAACACAUAGUGUGCUAAACUGCCAGUGUAUUUAGUGUGGUCCUCAUACAUAAAAUCCCAUCUUCCAGAGUAGAAAACUAGAACUCCUUGAGGUUGAAAAA
This is a long non-coding RNA of Acinonyx jubatus (cheetah), 4095 nucleotides long. RefSeq lists it as uncharacterized. The record is from RefSeq and is a predicted model, not a curated record. NCBI's taxonomy places the organism in Eukaryota, Metazoa, Chordata, Mammalia, Carnivora, Felidae. The transcript has 2 exons.